Molecule: ribosomal RNA, 476 nt
Filed under: uncultured bacterium
Lineage: Bacteria
Description: partial 16S ribosomal RNA
Rfam family: Bacterial small subunit ribosomal RNA
Source: RNAcentral
AGCGAACGCUGGCGGCGUGCUUAACACAUGCAAGUCGAACGGUAAGGCCCUUCGGGGUACACGAGUGGCGAACGGGUGAGUAACACGUGGGCAACCUGCCUCAUAGAGGGGAAUAGCCUUCCGAAAGGAAGAUUAAUACCGCAUAAGAUUGUAGCUUCGCAUGAAGCAGCAAUUAAAGGAGCAAUCCGCUAUGAGAUGGGCCCGCGGCGCAUUAGCUAGUUGGUGAGGUAACGGCUCACCAAGGCGACGAUGCGUAGCCGACCUGAGAGGGUGAUCGGCCACAUUGGGACUGAGACACGGCCCAGACUCCUACGGGAGGCAGCAGUGGGGAAUAUUGCACAAUGGGGGAAACCCUGAUGCAGCAAUGCCGCGUGAGUGAUGACGGCCUUCGGGUUGUAAAGCUCUGUCUUCGGGGACGAUAAUGACGGUACCCGAGGAGGAAGCCACGGCUAACUACGUGCCAGCCGCCGCCGUAA